UCUGUGACAUUGUGUUUGCAGGUAUACUCUACAAAUAGCUAUUGCAACUGAAGGAAGAUAACCUACUAUGGUUUUCUAGGUGCAUACUGUUACCUUCUGUUAUACUUUAUCUUAUCCUGGACUGCAGCUGGAAAUUUCCAUUUACUCUUUCUAGUUCCUUCUGACAAAGUCAGAUAAGUUAUUUCAAAUACUUUAUUUAACAAUGUGAAGGCUGAUGUUGCUUGAAGAAAGCUAGGAAGAACUUUGUCCAGUUUAGAGCAGAAUUGGUAAAGGAGUGCUGUCAUGGAAAAGCCUUGAUGCUGUUCUGCUAAUGACACUCACAUUUCAUAAAGCAAAUGAAUUUUCUCUUUACCAGCAGGGCACUGACUGUCCAUUGCUACAGCAUGCCAUUUUGCAAAACUGUAGGUGUAGCAAUCUCCAGUGGCAGUGUGAUGACGGAAAACUGGGAACCAUUGCACUGUUGCCUGCCACGGGGUAUAUAUCUGUUCUCCUUCCUGGCUCUGUAAUGCUGUGGAUUGAUAGCACCAGUCAUGCCUGCCAACGCCGGUUGAAGAACCUACAUUCUCUUCCGAAUGCAACUAGACAGUAGAUCUAUGUAGGUUCACUCUCAGAACAAGGAUUCCUCAAAGUCAGUGUGUGUAGCACCCUAACACAGAGUACCAUAACCAAAAGCAGAAGGAACAACUGCAAGGGAGCGGAUUCAUCAGAGGUCGGGGAGGAACGAUUCUUGUAGAUGACUAAUGAUGAUUGCAAUGGAUUGACUUUGUUUUCCUGGAAAUGUGAGCUCUGGUUGAAAAUAUUUAUAUAGCAUUUCUGCUUCUCUCAGUGUCUAUCAUAGAAUGACUUCAUGCUGCAGUCAUUCCUUCAAGGAAUGACUUCAAGGCUCAAACAAAGCCUAUUGGGUAAGUGAAGAAAUAAAGAGGUACUGUAAGAAAAACCCCAAGAGCAUGUCAAAUGUAGGCUAGCCAAAGAAGAUCUAAGGGAGGCUGGAACGUUUCUUGUAUCAAAGAGCUAAUUACUGGUGCAUGGAAAAGGGAAAAGGAUGGUCAUGGCCCAAGGUAAAAGUCAUAAAUCAAUUUAGACUUUGAAUCUGAAAGACGUUUUCAGAAAAGAAAUGUUGCUCUGGGACAGGCUUCUGGGUGGCCAAAAAACCCCUACUGUUAAGUUGAGCUUGGUGACUUUAAGAAAAAGUUUAUAUAAUAUUAUAUAACAAAAAACUGCCCUUGGUGGUCCAAAUACUGUCUUUUGAUAAUAGAUUUUGAAGGCUGUAGAACACAGAGCACUCUUGCAUUCUCUGCUUCUAGUCAAAGCUAUUGCUAAGUAUCAAUAUAUAGCUUAGGAUAUUUUCCUUUUUGUUGAAAAAACCACCUGAAAAUAUUGAAAAAUGAUCACAAUCUCUUUGGAAUUCUGUGAGUGAGAAAAUGUUCUACAGUUUGAUGGAGAAAAUAAAAAAAUCAUAUUAAAGCCUUAUCUGGAGUAGGAGAAUUUCUUACCUAUUUUUGGCAGUUGUUCAACUGUAGAAGUAAUAUUUGUUACACAGAUGAGUGCACAUAAAACUGGAAUACUCCCACUAUUAUACCCUCUAAGUCAGAUAAUAUUCCUGUUUAUGUCUUGGGUUUUAAAACUGAUUUUUUAACAUUCAGGUUAUGUCAUUACUAUGGCAUUGUUUUGCACAAAUAGUGAAUGUAGUCUAACUGGAAACUAGUCUGUAGUUUAAAACAAUGACAGAAUUUGGACUAGUACUAGACAGUUUAACUUCUAGCUAUGCAGGAAGAUUUGUGUUCAUGUUCUAAAAAUCACAUGAGUACAUGCACACACACUCUGGUAUAUGCUCUUAACCUAUCAAAAUAUUAUCAAUUAAGAUUAAGAGUCAGACUUCAAUCUGCAGGUGCAAGGGCACUUUCAAACUAUAGCCUGUCCUUAAAUCACCCUGUUGUUAAUAAGUGACUUUUUCUAAAAUAUACACAUGCCUUCAGAUAAGUCAAAAUAGCGACCAGAGGUCUUGACAAAAAUCCUGUAUAUUUGAAAUAUUUUGCAGGUAUGUGUGUGUCUGUAGCACAGCAUUGUGCAUGUACUUGGAAAGAAGGCACUGCAAUAGCCACACUGAAAGGGAUUACUGGAGUCCGUUUGCCAGAGACUGGACUAGCAAUGUCUAAGCUCACUUGACUGUAUAGCAAAGUCAGUUCAGUUUUGGUUUCUUUUCCCUGUGCUGCAUGCUGUUGUAAUCCAUAUGUGAUGAUUAAAGGUUAGUGAAGUGUUACUUUACUAUUCCUGAGCAUACUGAAGAUUUCUCUUUAAAUGAGAUAACCAUGUCUACAGUGGUUGUUCUUCUGCUCAGAACAGUAUCUCAGCUGUGCACACCUUCUUCUCCUCAUGUUUGUACCUUUCUUGGAUCAACCAGGUGUUGUUGAAUCCUGUUGUAAUGGUUUAAAUUGUUUUCCCCAGAUAUCUAUCUCACCUCUCCGCCAAAGACUGUCCUGUUCAAAAAAAAUGAAUAGAAAAGAGUGUUUGCCUGCUCCAAGACACCAUCCCACCAUUUUGGUAAAACCUAUGGUUGUAGACACUUAAUAUAAGAAGCUUGACUUUUUUGUUUGUUUGUUUGUUUUCUGGAUUUAUUCAGUGACUUUUAUUUAUUUCUUCUUCUAAGUCUUUUCCAAAGUCAGUAAUCUCCCAGAAGGUGAUAGGAUAGUCAGUUUAGAGAGCAAUACUAAAAUAAUUAAAACAAGAUUUAACAUGAUUUUUUCUGUUAAAGACCUUAAUAAAAAAUAUUUUAUGUCUACUCUUUAAUUAUUUUAUUAGUCUUUUAUCUAUGUAAAAUAAACACAUACCAAAGAAUAAGGCUUGACAGUGUAUCAAGCUAUAUGACUGUGUUCUCCACCAGAGUUUUAAUAUGACUUUUGUUGUUAGAAAAAUUAAGAGUGUUGUUAGACAAAUUUUAAAAGAGAAAUGGGAAGGAAGUUUUAAAGGGCUGUAUUGACAAGUCUAGCCACUUCACAUCAGAGUUUUCACUACUGUAUUCUGUAAUCAGUCUCCAAGAUUAAAUAUUGACUGACAGCAGAAAGAAUGAUCUGGAGCUCAGAAUUAUGAACAAGUUCAGUGAGUGAUCUGGAGCUGAGAACUCUGAGCAGAAUUCUGAACAAGUGAAGUAGGAUUUUCUUCUUAAAGAAACUUUCUGAAGUUAAAUGUUUCCCAUUUUAAUCAACAUUUUUCUUGUAAGAUGGCGGCUUAAAGAAAACAAAAUCACCUCUGGAAUAUUCAGAGCUUGAACAUUUUCUUAAUUAGAGUUCUGUAUUUCAGCUACAGCCCUGGAACCUUGUCAGAGUCCCCCUCUGGGAUGUGCAUGAAGUGCAUGUGAUUUACAAUAAUCUCUUAGCAACAAUAUUUCUAUGAAUUGAUAAAUAACUGCAUAUUUUUUUCUGUUUAAAAAUUGUGUCCAUUGAUAGCGCUCUGUAGGAAAUGUCACAGAAAGAAGCAGAACAGUCUUGAAAAAUGUAAUAUGGUUGCAAAUGAGAGCAGAUAAUUUUUUCAGUCUCAGUCUAAAGAGGUGAGCUGUAAUAGGUAUUAAACACUUUGUGAACAGCACACAUUGCAACUCUCAGUUAAUAUUAUUGCUGUGUCAGAAUAGCACAUUUACAGUAGAGUCUAUGGCAAUAUAACACAGGGUCUACCAGGUUCUGUAGUCUGUAGAGUCUACCUUGUGUACAACUCCUGUAGCUAGAACACCAUUAAAUAAAGUGAUGAAAAUAAUACAGCCUCUGAUCGACAUCUUUGGCAGUGUCAAGAAAAGUAACUGGAACAAAAGUUGCUCUUAUCUAAGUCUGAGAAGAGUUAGAUUACUCCUCCUGUGGCCAAUGCUAAUUGCUCAACAGAUUGGAAACCUCAAAAAUUCUAGAAGAAUGUAAGUUGAGAAUGGGUGAUUUCAGAGACAGCUGAGCAUCAGUUACAAGCUGAGAGACCCUCUUGCCCAAAUCCAUCCCUGAUACAUAAAUGUUGUCAGCAAGAUGAGCUGCUUCCUCUGCCAGAGAUACUGUUUGUUCAUCACUGAGACCUUCUGAAAGGUGCAAACAGCAGUUUUGAACUUUUGGGAAACUCAUAGCUAUUAUUUUAAAGUUAUUGGCAAAUACUUGUCAAAAUCAUCCCAAGUCUUAAUGCUGCUAAACAUAGGAAUUUAAUGUUUUGGUUUUAACAGUGGAAAAAAGGAGGAGAUUAAUCCUAGGAGACUAAGGUAUAUAGAAAAUCACACACCAAGUGACCUUAAAAAUGCAGUUGUCUUGGAACCCCAUGGGGCCACCUUAUGGGUCUUCACUUCUAAUAGCAGAAUGAGUCAAUACAUGGUGUGAAGAAAGGGCCUUUCCAGUUUUCAGCUGUCACCUUUGCCAAAUGAGACAUAAUUCACUCCCUAAUCUGAAAGCAAGAAAUAGAGACAAAAGAUAAGGAGCGAGUGGAUUCCUUGAGAUCAACAGUUUGAAUCCAAUGACAGAGACUAAAUAGGGAAUCUGGAUCUCUUGACCUCCAGACAGUUAUUCUGUGCAUGAUGCUGCCUGGCCUCACCCUUUGUCCCGUUUGUUUUCGAACACCACUCUUUCAUCCUUGCCAUGUAACAGGUUGUAAGAGAUACUUGCUUUUAUAUCACUGGGGGGGAAAACAUGAAGGAGUAGUACUGAGUCAGUCGGCCUGUUUAUAAAAUGUCAGAGCACAACACCUGGAGAGGUAAUAUGCAUUGCAGGUGCACUAUUUAAGAAACAUUAAACAAUGACCUACCAGAUAUUUGAGACCUCCAGGGUAAUAAUCUACCACUUGUGAAAAUUCUUCUGCAUCCUAAAUCCAUUUUAAAUAGACAAACUAUCCAUGUGUCCCCAAGCUUGUUGAUAGUACUCUUGGAUAUACUGACAAUAAUUGCUGAAGUCUGCUCAGAGCAGCAGCAGUAUUUUACAGCUUUCGAAUUGUUUCCUGAGCAUGAAACAUGGAUUGUGGGUAGAUUUUUUGGUUUUCCCUCAUUUUUCCCAUUCUGUAGCAGAAAUUGAGGGGUUUUCUCUUUGGAUAUUUAUUGCUUCAUAUUUCAGUCAAUUUGACUACCUUAGAACAAUACUUUACCGUACAUAAUCACAGGGCUGUUGGUUACCCACACAGGGAUCCAGAGGCACCAGGAAGAUAUGGAAACUGUCAUAUUCAGCCUGUGAUAACAAUCUCAAGCCUUGUGAUAACAAUCUCAAGCCUUGUGAUUCCCAGAGCCUGGCUUAUUAUCAUGAUGAAUCUCUUGCAGUACAAACCUUUCCACUAAUGGCAUGCAAGCUGAGACAGUAAGACAGAAUUCCUCUCAGAAUUAUCCAAAAUCUCCAGUACAGUCUAAACAAGGUACUUUUCAAUAUUCAGAUAACACACAGUGUGCAGAAGUGGAAAGCAUGACUCAUUCCACUGUUUAUCCUUAGUGUGAAAGAUUCAUGGAAUGACCACAGUAUCAUGGUUCUUGUGUGAUGUAUAUACUUCCCAUAUGCUGUCCUGAGCUAGGUAAAAACUUGAUACCUGAAAUAUUCUACUUGAUAUUGAAAUCAUGGUAUCCUUCUAUGGAAGUACUUAUGGAAGUGUGAGUAUCAGAGGACUGUGAAGAUGCUUUACAUAUGAUGCCAUUACACUCAGGGUUUGUGGGACAAAGAAGGGCUUUUAACUUGGCUUCGUAAGGCUCAGGACAUGAUGGCUCUAGGAAGAUGGCAUAUGGUUCAAAGAUUAUUUCCAUAGCUUUUGCAGAAAACUAUAUAUAUCUCUGUAGGACUUCAGUCUAAUUAAUACUGUCUUUUUUAAAUGUGUUGUUACUGAAAACUUGUAACAAAUUAACUGUUAGUUUCCAAAUUCCAGCUGAGCAUAAGGACUUCCCUGAUACUGUUAAGUUGAUGGCACUUUUGCUGAAUGUGGAAUCCAUGUUUGAUUAUCCUCUGCUGAGGAUGAAGAGUAACUCCACCAAUAACCACUACUUUACACACUUCAGGAAUGCCAAAGAACUUUGGCUAUUUUGGUCACUCUUUCCUCAGAGGAGUGUGCUCACUGAAAGGCAGAUUUAUCAUACAUAAGAGCAGAAGUGUAUUGGAAAUGGAAAGAGGAAAUUUAUAGUACUGACUGCAUAAGAACAAUCACUGUUUUGAGCAGUACUUUGUCAGAAAACUCUUUUGAAGAAGACUUGUGGAAAUGGUAGAGAAAACAUUUCAAAGUGUUAUUAAUUUUUUCUCUGUUCUGUGUUAUCUGGUGCAUCUAACAAACCAUUCACAUGACCCCUGGCUGGUGCACAUGGAUUCUCAGUGGACAGCUCCCAUGGAGACGGCAGAUGCCACCUACCUUGCUUGCGCCUUGUAUGAUUUGUUAUGAUGUUUGUCUUUGUGGUUUGGUGCCUUAAUUCUUAAAAACGGAGACAGAAAACUUGUGGUUCCCAGAAAUACAGUUUGUACUGAGGUCUUUACCAAGCCAGACAGAAUAAUCAGAUGAAGAUGGAAGGAGAGAAAUAUGCAGAGAGAUCAUUAAAUGUGCAAACAGCAUCACCAAGAAAUGUGCUACACAACUGAAAUUAAUUACAGCUUGUAUUGAUUUUAAUGGCAGAAGAACAUAUUUAUUAAUGAACAGAAGGAGAACACUGUCCUGCAAUACAUUGCUCAGAUCUUACUGUGAAGUGCAAGGUAAGAAAAUUCUGGAGUCAUUUUGGUGUUUGUUUACAUUCAGACUGAGAAACUCAAACUGUGACCUGCAAGACAGAGAUGUUUCACUGUGUCAGUAAAAGACCACAGUGACUUUUACUUCUAGGCUGUAAGAGAAGUGUUCAAGGUGAUAUCACUGCAGAGUUUUUCAACUCUGAUAUAAUUGGUUGGGUUUUUUCAGAAAAAGAGCUCCUGUGUGACCAGAAUCUUAUCAUAGCUACACUUGACAAGUAAGCCAUGUUUCAGAUGUGUCUCCUCAGAAAAAAAAGAAUAUUUCCUGAAUGUCAUAUUUUUUAGCCCCCAAAUCUCAUCCUUGGCAGAAGUAGGAUUUAUACCAUGAUUUCCUCCAUGCUCCCAAGAGAAGCUCUGCUUUUUAGACACUGAGUCAAACAAGUUCUGAGAAUAAGUGAUCCAUCUUGCUUAAUGAGCUCACAUGGCUGUUUCCAAUGUACCCUUAUGUGGAAAGAAGGUUUGAUUUCCUUGAACUGUCAUAGCUGCAUCUUCUUGAGCAUUAUAUUAACUUAAAGAAGAUGACAGGACACAUUAUGAGAUUGUUUAUAUAUUCUGACAUUGACAGAGCAAAUAAUUAGUAAAACCAUCUGAAAUCUGGAACUGUACCUUUUGGAGCAAAUGGGAAAGCUUCAUUUCAGUUACUUGUGAUGUUAUAGAGUUUUGGUUUUACCAAGCAAACGUCUGUCACAAAAUGGUUGGCAGGUCAUCUGGUCCAAGCCCCCUGCUGAAGUAGGGUCACCUAGAGUCAGUUGCCCAGGUCUGUGUCAGACAGCUUCUGAAUAUCUGCAGGGAUGGCGGUUCCACAAUCUCUCUGGGCAACUUGUGAGUGAGUAACUGAGCAACAGUAGUGAGUAACAUGUACCAAGUAUUAAACUAAUUACUACCUCCUUAUUUAUGAACAAAUGAGGUCAGGAGAACAUAACAGGAUGCUGUCAGACAAGCCAAAGGACCAGACAUUGUGCAAAAAACACUAACAAACCAAGUGGCCAUGUCUCUUUUGUACAUUGGUAUUAUUUAGAUUUUUAGCCCCUGUGACACUUUGGUAUUUAUGACUUCUUUCUUCCUGAUUUAGUGGUAGUUUACUAUUGUCCACAGUUUUCUUCUCUCUGCUGCUUUCUCUCAGGCAUGGAUUUUGAAAGAUGUCUCUUAAUGUUCUGAAAGAGUCUACCUUUUCUUUGUGAUUAUCAUUCACAUACUUGGUGAGUGUAAAGGUAAUUUUAGAUGUGCGGUUUGCUCUGUUAAGAGAAUGGAGCCAUUGAGUCAGUGUUUGCUACCAACUGUAAAAUAAACUGGAUUGCAUGUUUUGUCCUCUUUGGUUUUUCAGUAAAGGAUACAAUUGAUGUUUUGUUUAAGGUGGCAUAAAACCC
This is a long non-coding RNA of Corvus hawaiiensis (hawaiian crow), 8059 nucleotides long. RefSeq lists it as uncharacterized. The transcript has 4 exons. Lineage: Eukaryota; Metazoa; Chordata; Aves; Passeriformes; Corvidae. The record is from RefSeq and is a predicted model, not a curated record.